RNAcentral lists this transfer RNA (73 nucleotides) under Pantoea agglomerans. RNAcentral's name for it is "tRNA-Gln". It matches the Rfam family "tRNA". From Rfam's summary of the family: Transfer RNA (tRNA) molecules are approximately 80 nucleotides in length. Their secondary structure includes four short double-helical elements and three loops (D, anti-codon, and T loops). Further hydrogen bonds mediate the characteristic L-shaped molecular structure. tRNAs have two regions of fundamental functional importance: the anti-codon, which is responsible for specific mRNA codon recognition, and the 3' end, to which the tRNAs corresponding amino acid is attached (by aminoacyl-tRNA synthetases). tRNAs cope with the degeneracy of the genetic code in two manners: having more than one tRNA (with a specific anti-codon) for a particular amino acid; and 'wobble' base-pairing, i.e. permitting non-standard base-pairing at the 3rd anti-codon position. Lineage: Bacteria; Pseudomonadati; Pseudomonadota; Gammaproteobacteria; Enterobacterales; Erwiniaceae. The record is from RNAcentral.
UGUGGUGUGGCUCAGCGGAAGCAGCGCCCGGCUUUGGCACGGGAGGUCGCCGGUUCGAAUCCGGUCACCACAA